RNAcentral lists this ribosomal RNA (618 nucleotides) under Salmonella enterica. RNAcentral's name for it is "partial 23S ribosomal RNA". It matches the Rfam family "Bacterial large subunit ribosomal RNA", at positions 611 to 1230 of the family's 2925-position model. Lineage: Bacteria; Pseudomonadati; Pseudomonadota; Gammaproteobacteria; Enterobacterales; Enterobacteriaceae. The record is from RNAcentral.
UAUAAUGGGUCAGCGACUUAUAUUCUGUAGCAAGGUUAACCGAAUAGGGGAGCCGGAGGGAAACCGAGUCUUAACCGGGCGUUAAGUUGCAGGGUAUAGACCCGAAACCCGGUGAUCUAGCCAUGGGCAGGUUGAAGGUUGGGUAACACUAACUGGAGGACCGAACCGACUAAUGUUGAAAAAUUAGCGGAUGACCUGUGGCUGGGGGUGAAAGGCCAAUCAAACCGGGAGAUAGCUGGUUCUCCCCGAAAGCUAUUUAGGUAGCGCCUCGUGAAUUCAUCUCCGGGGGUAGAGCACUGUUUCGGCUAGGGGGCCAUCCCGGCUUACCAACCCGAUGCAAACUGCGAAUACCGGAGAAUGUUAUCACGGGAGACACACGGCGGGUGCUAACGUCCGUCGUGAAGAGGGAAACAACCCAGACCGCCAGCUAAGGUCCCAAAGUCAUGGUUAAGUGGGAAACGAUGUGGGAAGGCCCAGACAGCCAGGAUGUUGGCUUAGAAGCAGCCAUCAUUUAAAGAAAGCGUAAUAGCUCACUGGUCGAGUCGGCCUGCGCGGAAGAUGUAACGGGGCUAAACCAUGCACCGAAGCUGCGGCAGCGACACUGUGUGUUGUUGGGUA